CCAAUAUCCAAUCCCACACAGUGUGCUUCUGCUCAAUAAAUUAACAGUAACAGUGUCAAGUGUCAUGUUGUGAAUAUAAUUUAACCAAUGUUGGUAUAUAUCAGUAGAAUCUCGGAUGGCAGCAAAACACUAAUUGUUACUCAUAUACCACCAAUACAGGUAUAUAGUAAUACGAUCUCUAGAUGAUAAAAAGCUCAAAGUGCUUUUUAAAAAAAACUUCACAUUUAUUGAAAAUAAAAUUGAAAUCAGAACACACUCACAAAAAUGAAGUGUAGUAUUCCAGCAAAUGAGUCCUUAUCGGGUAAGCAAAAUCGGGGGAUGGUCAGCAAACUGUGGAAGAACUUUCUCCGGCCGGUGAAAUUAUCUUACUGUGUUGGGAGAGGUGUUUUAAUCAGUUGGAUUAAAACAGUUGGAUUACUGCAUGGACUCUAUCCUUACAGGGAUGGUCGUAGAAGUCCGUUAUAAACAUAACGGUGGCCGCCAUUCGGCAUACGAUCCCGAAUGCGGUCAGCAGGACUUAAGCGUGAAUUGCCUGGAACUGUUUUCGGCAUGGCAAUCACGCGAACGGCCGGUCAUUAUGGAAGUCCCGACUAACUACUUUCCAUUCAACGUAUCAAACCGGUAUUCGGGAGUUUUAAUGAUUGUUAUAUUUGUAUGUUAUGCAGAAAGUACUUUUCUAAAAAUGUAAAAAAAAAAUGUGUAUUUAUAGCCAGCAGAUAAUUGAGUUUAGUAUGUUGCUGAAACUCAAUUAUCUAGCCUGGCCCAGAGGAGGAGUUAUGUAUUGUAUAAAUUGAAUACCUGUUGCUCAGUAAAUCAGUCUUGU
This is a non-coding RNA of Pelobates cultripes (western spadefoot toad), 823 nucleotides long. Lineage: Eukaryota; Metazoa; Chordata; Amphibia; Anura; Pelobatidae. The record is from the annotation of a GenBank genome assembly.